AGUGGUUAAGAGCUUGGUUGCUAACCAAAAGAUUGGCGGUCCAAAUCCGCCAGCCACUU
RNAcentral lists this transfer RNA (59 nucleotides) under Loxodonta africana (African savanna elephant). It matches the Rfam family "tRNA", at positions 14 to 71 of the family's 71-position model. From Rfam's summary of the family: Transfer RNA (tRNA) molecules are approximately 80 nucleotides in length. Their secondary structure includes four short double-helical elements and three loops (D, anti-codon, and T loops). Lineage: Eukaryota; Metazoa; Chordata; Mammalia; Proboscidea; Elephantidae. The record is from Rfam by way of RNAcentral.